GACGAACGCUGGCGGCGUGCCUAAUACAUGCAAGUAGAACGCUGAAGGAGGAGCUUGCUUCUCUGGAUGAGUUGCGAACGGGUGAGUAACGCGUAGGUAACCUGCCUGGUAGCGGGGGAUAACUAUUGGAAACGAUAGCUAAUACCGCAUAAGAGUAGAUGUUGCAUGACAUUUACUUAAAAGGUGCAAUUGCAUCACUACCAGAUGGACCUGCGUUGUAUUAGCUAGUUGGUGAGGUAACGGCUCACCAAGGCAACGAUACAUAGCCGACCUGAGAGGGGGAUCGGCCACACUGGGACUGGGACACGGCCCAGACUCCUACGGGAGGCAGCAGUAGGGAAUCUUCGGCAAUGGACGGAAGUCUGACCGAGCAACGCCGCGUGAGUGAAGAAGGUUUUCGGAUCGUAAAGCUCUGUUGUAAGAGAAGAACGAGUGUGAGAGUGGAAAGUUCACACUGUGACGGUAUCUUACCAGAAAGGGACGGCUAACUACGUG
Molecule: ribosomal RNA, 495 nt
Filed under: uncultured bacterium
Lineage: Bacteria
Description: partial 16S ribosomal RNA
Rfam family: Bacterial small subunit ribosomal RNA
Source: RNAcentral